AAAGGAAUAGACGGGGGCCCGCACAAGCAGUGGAGUAUGUGGUUUAAUUCGAAGCAACGCGAAGAACCUUACCAGGUCUUGACAUCGAGUGACGUACUAAGAGAUUAGUACUCCCUUUUUGGGCACGAAGACAGGUGGUGCAUGGUUGUCGUCAGCUCGUGUCGUGAGAUGUUGGGUUAAGUCCCGCAACGAGCGCAACCCUUGCCAUUAGUUACUACGCAAGAGGACUUUAAUGGGACUGCCGUUGACAAAACGGAGGAAGGUGGGGAUGACGUCAAAUCAUCAUGCCCCUUAUGACCUGGGCUACACACGUACUACAAUGGCAAUUAACAGAGGGGAGCAAAGCAGUGAUGCAGAGCAAAUCCCGAAAAAUUGUCUCAGUUCGGAUUGUAGGCUGCAACUCGCCUACAUGAAGUCGGAAUUGCUAGUAAUCGCAGAUCAGCAUGCUGCGGUGAAUACGUUCCCGGGCCUUGUACACACCGCCCGU
This 487-nucleotide ribosomal RNA is filed under the name uncultured bacterium. RNAcentral's name for it is "bacterial SSU rRNA". It matches the Rfam family "Bacterial small subunit ribosomal RNA", at positions 903 to 1397 of the family's 1533-position model. The record is from RNAcentral.